Non-coding RNA from Triticum aestivum (bread wheat), 135 nucleotides. The record is from Rfam. Lineage: Eukaryota; Viridiplantae; Streptophyta; Magnoliopsida; Poales; Poaceae.
CAACUACUCCCUCUAUCCCAAAUUUCUUGUCUUAGAUUUGUCUAGGUACGGAUGUAUCGAAUACUAAAAUGUGACUUGAUACAUCCAUAUCUAGACAAAUCUAAGACAAGAAUUUUGGGACGGAGGGAGUACUUU